GUUUCUAAACAUUAUGUUGGUGCAAAAGUAAUUGCGGUUUUUGCCAUUACUUUGGCACCGACGUAAUUAUUUUUUUACAUUAGUGAUUCUUU
RNAcentral lists this microRNA precursor (92 nucleotides) under Chlorocebus sabaeus (green monkey). RNAcentral's name for it is "miRNA (ENSCSAG00000022479.1)". Lineage: Eukaryota; Metazoa; Chordata; Mammalia; Primates; Cercopithecidae. The record is from RNAcentral.